AUUGAACGCUGGCGGCAGGCCUAACACAUGCAAGUCGAACGGUAGCACAGAGAGCUUGCUCUCGGGUGCCGAGUGGCGGACGGGUGAGUAAUGUCUGGGAAACUGCCCGAUGGAGGGGGAUAACUACUGGAAACGGUAGCUAAUACCGCAUAAUGUCGCAAGACCAAAGAGGGGGACUUUCGGGCCUCUUGCCAUCGGAUGUGCCCAGAUGGGAUUAGCUAGUUGGUGAGGUAAUGGCUCACCAAGGCGACGAUCCCUAGCUGGUCUGAGAGGAUGACCAGCCACACUGGAACUGAGACACGGUCCAGACUCCUACGGGAGGCAGCAGUGGGGAAUAUUGCACAAUGGGCGCAAGCCUGAUGCAGCCAUGCCGCGUGUAUGAAGAAGGCCUUCGGGUUGUAAAGUACUUUCAGCGGGGAGGAAGGCAAUGCGGUUAAUAACCGUGUUGAUUGACGUUACCCGCAGAAGAAGCACCGGCUAACUCCGUG
This 488-nucleotide ribosomal RNA is filed under the name uncultured bacterium. Its description in RNAcentral is "partial 16S ribosomal RNA". It matches the Rfam family "Bacterial small subunit ribosomal RNA", at positions 30 to 507 of the family's 1533-position model. The record is from RNAcentral.